GAUGAACGCUGGCGGCGUGCCUAAUACAUGCAAGUCGAGCGAACAGACGAGGAGCUUGCUCCUCUGACGUUAGCGGCGGACGGGUGAGUAACACGUGGAUAACCUACCUAUAAGACUGGGAUAACUUCGGGAAACCGGAGCUAAUACCGGAUAAUAUAUUGAACCGCAUGGUUCAAUAGUGAAAGACGGUUUUGCUGUCACUUAUAGAUGGAUCCGCGCCGCAUUAGCUAGUUGGUAAGGUAACGGCUUACCAAGGCAACGAUGCGUAGCCGACCUGAGAGGGUGAUCGGCCACACUGGAACUGAGACACGGUCCAGACUCCUACGGGAGGCAGCAGUAGGGAAUCUUGCGCAAUGGGCGAAAGCCUGACGGAGCAACGCCGCGUGAGUGAUGAAGGUCUUCGGAUCGUAAAGCUCUGUUAUUAGGGAAGAACAAAUGUGUAAGUAACUAUGCGCGUCUUGACGGUACCGGAUCAGAAAGCAACGGCUAACUUCGUG
Molecule: ribosomal RNA, 497 nt
Filed under: uncultured bacterium
Lineage: Bacteria
Description: partial 16S ribosomal RNA
Rfam family: Bacterial small subunit ribosomal RNA
Source: RNAcentral